GGAUUAGAUACCCGGGUAGUCCACGCUGUAAACGAUGUCGACUUGGAGGUUGUUCCCUUGAGGAGUGGCUUCCGGAGCUAACGCGUUAAGUCGACCGCCUGGGGAGUACGGCCGCAAGGUUAAAACUCAAAUGAAUUGACGGGGGCCCGCACAAGCGGUGGAGCAUGUGGUUUAAUUCGAUGCAACGCGAAGAACCUUACCUACUCUUGACAUCCAGAGAACUUAGCAGAGAUGCUUUGGUGCCUUCGGGAACUCUGAGACAGGUGCUGCAUGGCUGUCGUCAGCUCGUGUUGUGAAAUGUUGGGUUAAGUCCCGCAACGAGCGCAACCCUUAUCCUUUGUUGCCAGCGAUUCGGUCGGGAACUCAAAGGAGACUGCCAGUGAUAAACUGGAGG
This 394-nucleotide ribosomal RNA is filed under the name uncultured bacterium. RNAcentral's name for it is "bacterial SSU rRNA". It matches the Rfam family "Bacterial small subunit ribosomal RNA", at positions 775 to 1169 of the family's 1533-position model. The record is from RNAcentral.